CUGCAGGUUCCACUCCUUUGUAGUCAAAACUCAAGACGAUAAGGAACACUGUGUGGAUCCAGGUGCUCUGUGGUUCGCACUUCAGAGAAUAGUGGGAAAUGUGAAGUGUCCCGUCGUCAAGCCCAAAUGCAUAUUUGAAGACUUGCUGCCACAAUUGUGUGCUUUACUGUAACCUGAUUCUACUGCAAUAUAAAGAUGG
Long non-coding RNA from Scomber japonicus (chub mackerel), 199 nucleotides. RefSeq lists it as uncharacterized. The transcript is spliced from 3 exons. The record is from RefSeq and is a predicted model, not a curated record. NCBI's taxonomy places the organism in Eukaryota, Metazoa, Chordata, Actinopteri, Scombriformes, Scombridae.